UUUUCACACAGCACCUUUGGACAUUGAAUAAGGAGCCUGAAGUCCUGGUGUGCAUGUUCUCCCAGCCUGGAGAAGCUCUGGCACCCCAUCCUCAGGGGCUUCCCCGCUGGGCUCUAUUUUAAGCCACGCUGGGGAGGUGAGAUAAUGAAGAUCUUUUAUCAGCAAACCCACAGUGCCAUGGCAGUAUUAACUUUCGUAGGAGAUGACCUGACUUCAAGUUGUGUUUUCCACCUGCAGACCACUGGUCUGUAACAAGUGGGGGCAGUUUGGGCAGCACAAACCUGAACAAGGAUGUGUCAUAGGACUUCCCCCAGCAACUGCACUCCUCUGCAUCAUACUCCCUUGCAUCGAGAAUAAAAUCUUCCAGAAGUACUGGUAACCAGGAGAGAAAUGAGGACUGGGCUACAGUGCUUUCUGAGGGAGCUGGCUGCAAGACAGCUACAGAUGUGAGGUGUACACCUUGGCUUAUGGAAUAACUUCAUGGGACUAAGCUACUUUAUAGACGGGCUGGUGUUAAAAAGGGGAGCGUACAACUCAGUUCUUUUGGAAGGCGUGGAGGCU
Molecule: long non-coding RNA, 561 nt
Organism: Myiozetetes cayanensis
Lineage: Eukaryota; Metazoa; Chordata; Aves; Passeriformes; Tyrannidae
Exons: 3
Source: RefSeq, a predicted model, not a curated record